CACGUAGGGGGCGAGCGUUGUCCGGAUUUAUUGGGCGUAAAGAGCUCGUAGGCGGCUCAGUAAGUCAGGUGUGAAAACUCCAGGCUCAACCUGGAGACGCCACCUGAUACUGCUGUGGCUAGAGUCCGGUAGGGGAGCAUGGAAUUCCUGGUGUAGCGGUGAAAUGCGCAGAUAUCAGGAGGAACACCAGUGGCGAAGGCGGCUCACUGGCCCGGUACUGACGCUGAGGCGCGAAAGCGUGGGGAGCAAACAGG
Molecule: ribosomal RNA, 254 nt
Filed under: uncultured bacterium
Lineage: Bacteria
Description: partial 16S ribosomal RNA
Rfam family: Bacterial small subunit ribosomal RNA
Source: RNAcentral